GUUUUCUGUUCUUGCAUGGGC
Molecule: non-coding RNA, 21 nt
Filed under: Rattus norvegicus (Norway rat)
Lineage: Eukaryota; Metazoa; Chordata; Mammalia; Rodentia; Muridae
Source: RNAcentral